Cynoglossus semilaevis (tongue sole) is the source of this 252-nucleotide long non-coding RNA. RefSeq lists it as uncharacterized. The transcript is spliced from 2 exons. Lineage: Eukaryota; Metazoa; Chordata; Actinopteri; Pleuronectiformes; Cynoglossidae. The record is from RefSeq and is a predicted model, not a curated record.
UGUCCUCUCAGGGUGUUUGCACAGAGGCUGGCAUGUAUGCUCUGAGAGAAAGGAGAGUUCACGUCACCCAAGAGGACUUUGAGAUGGCUGUAGCAAAGGUGAUGCAGAAAGACAGUGAGAAGAACAUGUCCAUCAAGAAGCUGUGGAAGUGAAAGGCCUUGCAUAUUGUUAAAUCAUGCAACAUUGUUUUUGUUAUUUGUUUGGUUUAUAAUUGUUACACAAGUAUAAAAUAAAUAAUUCCCACAAACCAAA